Molecule: transfer RNA, 69 nt
Filed under: Haringtonhippus francisci
Lineage: Eukaryota; Metazoa; Chordata; Mammalia; Perissodactyla; Equidae
Description: tRNA-Ile
Rfam family: tRNA
About the family: Transfer RNA (tRNA) molecules are approximately 80 nucleotides in length. Their secondary structure includes four short double-helical elements and three loops (D, anti-codon, and T loops). Further hydrogen bonds mediate the characteristic L-shaped molecular structure. tRNAs have two regions of fundamental functional importance: the anti-codon, which is responsible for specific mRNA codon recognition, and the 3' end, to which the tRNAs corresponding amino acid is attached (by aminoacyl-tRNA synthetases). tRNAs cope with the degeneracy of the genetic code in two manners: having more than one tRNA (with a specific anti-codon) for a particular amino acid; and 'wobble' base-pairing, i.e. permitting non-standard base-pairing at the 3rd anti-codon position.
Source: RNAcentral
AGAAAUGUGUCUGAUAAAAGAGUUACUUUGAUAGAGUAAAACAUAGAGGUUCAAACCCUCUUAUUUCUA